Molecule: ribosomal RNA, 253 nt
Filed under: uncultured bacterium
Lineage: Bacteria
Description: partial 16S ribosomal RNA
Rfam family: Bacterial small subunit ribosomal RNA
Source: RNAcentral
UACGUAGGGUGCGAGCGUUGUCCGGAAUUACUGGGCGUAAAGAGCUCGUAGGUGGUUUGUCGCGUUGUUCGUGAAAACUCACAGCUUAACUGUGGGCGUGCGGGCGAUACGGGCAGACUGGAGUACUGCAGGGGAGACUGGAAUUCCUGGUGUAGCGGUGGAAUGCGCAGAUAUCAGGAGGAACACCGGUGGCGAAGGCGGGUCUCUGAGCAGUAACUGACGCUGAGGAGCGAAAGCGUGGGGAGCGAACAGG